AAGUGGAGAAACUCAUCACAAUGUUGCUGUGAGCCCUGCCAUGCUGUUAGAGCAGGGGGAAAAAUGGAAUACCUGUUCAAGAGAAGUUUAGCUGUUUUGCCUAUCCUGCACUGAUACACAGCUUCAAAACUCAGCAGAAUUCGAUGUAGUAACCCUUACUGGAAAAUACAUCCAUGUCUUCAUCACAGGAUAUUGCCUUCCUUGUCACUACAGUUGCACACUUAGCUCUCUCCUCAUCUGCUGCAUCCUCGUGCAGAGGGAAGGAGGCUGCUACUGAGCUGGAGGCAGACGUUUGGCUGAGCACUCCCCUGGUUUUGGACUGCUGCUUUUGCUUUUAACAGCAUGCCUAGACUUUGAGAGGAACCUUAUGAUGAGUGAACAGCUAUACGAAGAUCUUUCAGACGUAAAAUCGUAUCCAAGGAACCUCCGGUAAUAAGGGCUUCAACUUCUACCCACAAGUGGUCCCAAGGGAAAGAUGGUCUUUGGCUUUUAUUUCCUGAAAGGAAGGAUUGUA
This is a long non-coding RNA of Nothoprocta perdicaria, 514 nucleotides long. RefSeq lists it as uncharacterized. Lineage: Eukaryota; Metazoa; Chordata; Aves; Tinamiformes; Tinamidae. The transcript is spliced from 3 exons. The record is from RefSeq and is a predicted model, not a curated record.